GACGAACGCUGGCGGCGUGCCUAAUACAUGCAAGUUGAGCGCUGAAGGUUGGUACUUGUACCAACUGGAUGAGCAGCGAACGGGUGAGUAACGCGUGGGGAAUCUGCCUUUGAGCGGGGGACAACAUUUGGAAACGAAUGCUAAUACCGCAUAAAAACUUUAAACACAAGUUUUAAGUUUGAAAGAUGCAAUUGCAUCACUCAAAGAUGAUCCCGCGUUGUAUUAGCUAGUUGGUGAGGUAAAGGCUCACCAAGGCGAUGAUACAUAGCCGACCUGAGAGGGUGAUCGGCCACAUUGGGACUGAGACACGGCCCAAACUCCUACGGGAGGCAGCAGUAGGGAAUCUUCGGCAAUGGACGAAAGUCUGACCGAGUAACGCCGCGGGAGUGAAGAAGGGUGUCGGAUCGUAAAACUCUGUUGGUAGAGAAGAACGUUGGUGAGAGUGGAAAGCUCAUCAAGUGACGGUAACUACCCAGAAAGGGACGGCUAACUACGUG
RNAcentral lists this ribosomal RNA (497 nucleotides) under uncultured bacterium. RNAcentral's name for it is "partial 16S ribosomal RNA". It matches the Rfam family "Bacterial small subunit ribosomal RNA", at positions 28 to 507 of the family's 1533-position model. The record is from RNAcentral.